CCUACGGGAGGCAGCAGUGAGGAAUAUUGGUCAAUGGGCGGGAGCCUGAACCAGCCAAGCCGCGUGAGGGAAGAAGGUCCAGCGUAUCGUAAACUUCUUUUGUCAGGGAACAAAGUCCGGUACUUGUCCCCCGCUGCGGGUACCCGAAGAAUAAGGAUCGGCUAACUCCGUGCCAGCAGCCGCGGUAAUACGGAGGAUCCGAGCGUUAUCCGGAUUUAUUGGGUUUAAAGGGUGCGCAGGCGGCCUGUUAAGUCAGCGGUAAAAGCCCGGGGCUCAACCCCGGCGAGCCGUUGAAACUGGCAGGCUGGAGUUGGAGAGAAGUACGCGGAAUGCGCGGUGUAGCGGUGAAAUGCUUAGAUAUCGCGCAGAACCCCGAUUGCGAAGGCAGCGUGCCGGAUCCACACUGACGCUGAGGCACGAAAGCGUGGGUAUCGAACAGGAUUAGAUACCCUUGUAGUC
This 459-nucleotide ribosomal RNA is filed under the name uncultured bacterium. RNAcentral describes it as "partial 16S ribosomal RNA". It matches the Rfam family "Bacterial small subunit ribosomal RNA", at positions 338 to 795 of the family's 1533-position model. The record is from RNAcentral.